RNAcentral lists this ribosomal RNA (324 nucleotides) under uncultured eukaryote. Its description in RNAcentral is "partial 18S ribosomal RNA". It matches the Rfam family "Eukaryotic small subunit ribosomal RNA", at positions 1470 to 1796 of the family's 1831-position model. The record is from RNAcentral.
CCCUUAGAUGUUCUGGGCCGCACGCGCGCUACACUGAUGCAUACAACGAGUUUCUUCCUGGUCCGAGAGGAAUGGGUAACCUUUUGAAAGUGCAUCGUGAUAGGGAUAGACUAUUGCAAUUAUUGGUCUUCAACGAGGAAUUCCUAGUAGACGUAGUUCAUCAGACUGCAUCGAUUACGUCCCUGCCCUUUGUACACACCGCCCGUCGCUCCUACCGAUUGAAUGCUCAGGUGAGCCAUUCGGACUUUCAUCAUGCUGGUUUCCAGUUUUGAUGAAGGAAAGUCUUGCGAACCUUAUCAUUUAGAGGAAGGAGAAGUCGUAACA